Molecule: non-coding RNA, 80 nt
Organism: Amazona aestiva (blue-fronted amazon)
Lineage: Eukaryota; Metazoa; Chordata; Aves; Psittaciformes; Psittacidae
Source: Rfam
AAAAAGGCUUUUCCUUAACAAUUAUCUUUUCACUAUAUCUGCUUAUGUAAAAGCCACACUGAUAAACAUAGAAUAUGUGU